Molecule: ribosomal RNA, 429 nt
Filed under: uncultured bacterium
Lineage: Bacteria
Description: bacterial SSU rRNA
Rfam family: Bacterial small subunit ribosomal RNA
Source: RNAcentral
AAAGCCUGAUCCAGCCAUGCCGCGUGUGUGAAGAAGGCUUUCGGGUUGUAAAGCACUUUCAGCGAGGAAGAAGGCCUGAUGAUUAAUACUUGUCAGGAAGGACAUCACUCGCAGAAGAAGCACCGGCUAACUCCGUGCCAGCAGCCGCGGUAAUACGGAGGGUGCAAGCGUUAAUCGGAAUUACUGGGCGUAAAGCGCGCGUAGGUGGCUUGAUAAGCCGGUUGUGAAAGCCCCGGGCUCAACCUGGGAACUGCAUCCGGAACUGUUAGGCUAGAGUGCAGGAGAGGAAGGUAGAAUUCCCGGUGUAGCGGUGAAAUGCGUAGAGAUCGGGAGGAAUACCAGUGGCGAAGGCGGCCUUCUGGACUGACACUGACACUGAGGUGCGAAAGCGUGGGUAGCAAACAGGAUUAGAUACCCUGGUAGUCCACG